AACGAACGCUGGCGGCACGCCUAACACAUGCAAGUCGAGCGCUACCUUCGGGUGGAGCGGCGGACGGGUUAGUAACGCGUGGGAACAUACCCUUUUCUGAGGAAUAACCAUUGGAAACGAUGACUAAUACCUCAUACGCCCUUCGGGGGAAAGAUUUAUCGGUGAAGGAUUGGCCCGCGUUAGAUUAGAUAGUUGGUGGGGUAAUGGCCUACCAAGUCUACGAUCUAUAGCUGGUUUGAGAGGAUGAUCAGCAACACUGGGACUGAGACACGGCCCAGACUCCUACGGGAGGCAGCAGUGGGGAAUCUUAGACAAUGGGCGCAAGCCUGAUCUAGCGAUGCCGCGUGUGUGACGAAGGCCUUAGGGUCGUAAAGCACUUUCGCCAGGGAUGAUAAUGACAGUACCUGGUAAAGAAACCCCGGCUAACUCCGUGCCAGCCGCCGCCGUAACAC
RNAcentral lists this ribosomal RNA (452 nucleotides) under uncultured bacterium. RNAcentral describes it as "bacterial SSU rRNA". It matches the Rfam family "Bacterial small subunit ribosomal RNA", at positions 29 to 526 of the family's 1533-position model. The record is from RNAcentral.